Molecule: long non-coding RNA, 1176 nt
Filed under: Coffea arabica (coffee)
Lineage: Eukaryota; Viridiplantae; Streptophyta; Magnoliopsida; Gentianales; Rubiaceae
Description: long non-coding RNA (CARA_LNC002941)
Source: RNAcentral
UGCAGGUACAGGUUUCAACCAAAAGAAUACAACUAAAAUGACAGAAACAGGAAAAGAAGCCAAGACAUAGAACCUUGCAAAGUAGCCAACUCUAUGUGUUAGCAGAUCAGCAAGUAGAUAUACAAACAGGGGCUAAAUUUCUGAAAUCUUAUGAUGUCCUGUAAACUCAAGCUGAAAUUCCACACUAUUUCUUGAGGAAAAAGCUUAUCCAUAAGACCAAGAUACAAAAGAAAAAGCCUAAAGAGCAGUAAGUUCUAAGGCCAAAACUGCACUAUCCACGCCCUAUAUCUGUGACACAGCUAUUUUCUUCAUGUUUAGGUUGACCCAAGAUUCGCGACACUGACAUGUAAGAGAAAAAUAAAAUUGCAGAUGUGUAAUAAUACUAAUUGCAUUGACAAACUUAUCUUGAGCAAGAAGCCAUCAUUAACCAAAUUCCAUUUAAAACCUUGGGAUUAAAAAUCACAGCAAGUCUAGCAGCAGGGUAGCUACUGGACUGAUGAUAACUAUUUCCAAUUCCUCAAUUUUUCUUUGUCCCAACAAAUGUGCAAUCUCAGUCAUUCACUUUUUUUUAAUUUUUAUCACUCAUAUUCAAAACAAAUGCUCCCACCAAUUCAUAGACUUUACAGUUAAAUACCCAAAAUAAAUGACUAACUUACAUUCUGAAAGAGCAACAAUAGCCUAAUAUACUUGUGUUGUAUCUAUAGCUUAAGUAUCAAGAUUCAAUUUGCCAUCAAAAUACCAACACCAAGUGAAAGAUAUAAUUAAAUUCAGAACAUUUUCCUUACCAGAUUAAUUACAGAACAGUCCGUGACCUAAUGUUUUGUUUUCUGCUGGACCAUCAAAGGAAGAAAAAAUCUAUAUUUUUCAUAGAUUUCAAUUUCUUGAGGGGUAAAUUGCAUCAUCAAGAAUUCCACCCUGCCUUGCGAAAAGCAACAUAAACUCGAGCCUCAGAAAGAGGUAAAGGAAUUAUCCUAAACAACGUGACUGAAACUUGAACGAAUAAAGGCAAAGGGAAGAGAGAUUACCUUGCAAGAACAGCGGAUUUGGAGAUAAUUCUGAUCUUGGGACGAUAAUUUUUACGUUUGUGAAGUUACAAGGUUCCCUGCUGUCCCGCUGAGCUCUGGAGAGGUGCUGUUGCAAGCCAUAAGACUAAGAGAGAACCAUUCGGGCUGUGAC